UACACAUAUCUUUUGAUCCAGUAAUUCCACUGCUGAAAAUCUAUCCCAAAGAAAGAAUCUGAAACGUGGAAAAAGCUUUGUGUCUGGAGAAGUAAACCAAGCUGCCAUACUUGAAAGAGAAAUUGGAAAUAACCUAGAUGUCCAACAAAAGUGGAUGACGAUUGGCUGUGAAAGUGACACGGGCUCUGGGAAGAGAAGUAAGGAGGACUGCUGGGAAGGAAACCAGGUUCUCGGAUGAGCAGGGGCUGUGAUAUGAAAGUGAUCAAGAGAUGGGACCAUCUAGUUGCAAGAGAACAAGCUCAGGGCUCCCACUGAUUCUACAUGAUGUAUUUGUCUUCACUUUCAAAGAGCGUAAAGUGAAAGAAAGGAGGAAGUCCACACCCUUGGGUUUGGGGGCAUCGGAUCCAGUGUGCAAUGUGAGAAGUAAAAUGAAGAGGAGAAAUGAUCUGGAGAGACUUUCUGAUGAAGCAAACACCAGGAUUUCAGGAAGAUAAAAUAGCCAUGGCAUUUUGAAAACCAGCUCAGAAGAUAUAAGCAUAUGAAAUGGUGAGUGUUUGGUGAACCGCACGGUAGAGUGGUUAAGCAUCUUCUGAGUCAGUCGAAACUUUGGCUUAAGGCCCAACUGCAUCAUUUACUAGCUGUGUGACCUUCAGCAAGUGACUUACCUUAUCUGAGCUCCAAUAUCCUUAUCUCUAUACUGGGGGUAAAGUUACCAACCUCCUAAAAUAUUGUGAAGAUUUCUGGAAAUGGUGUUCAUAAUGUAUUAGUGCAGUUCUUGGCAAAUGCUUCAAACUCAAUAAAUGGAAGCUGCCAACGUCAGUGUCAUCAUCAUCAUCGUUACCAUCAUCACCACCACUGAUGUCAUUAUCAGGAGGAAGAAAAGAAGAAGGAAACAUUUUCCAGGCUUUUAAAACUUGUUUCAUCCACUUCUGACCUCAGAAUAAUUACAAUAAUCUAUUAUUGUGUUAUAAUAUCUAAAAGAACCUAUCUCUACCAUUGUGGGAGGAACCAUAUUAGUUCAGCAGAGUAACUGGGUUCAUGCUGCCUUCUCUACCUUCUCAGGCUUCUCUGUGAGGCUUGGUAGAACAAUUUACUCUUCUUCCUGCAUUCUUACUGUGUGGAGUCUGUGUGCCUUCAGUUAGCCCUUGCCUCAUUACCCUUUCCUCUGUCAACAGCUGUGACUGAUACCAGGAUGGAUUUGAAGUGAGGCAGCUCUACGGGCCACUAGCAGUGUGACCUUGAGCAAAUCAGUUCAUUUCACUGGGGCUUUGUCUCUUCAUCUGGACACUAGGGUCGUAUCACCCACCUCACAAGGUUACAUGAGAUGGUUUUCCCAGCAUGUGAUAGGUUCUCAUAAACAUCAUAGUUACUAGAAUUAGUGGACGUAUCUGGUUUUCCCACUGUAUUGUAAACGUGUUAAGGACUGUAUUAGUCUGCGCUCAUGCUGCUAAUAAAGUCAUACCUGAGACUGGG
Gorilla gorilla gorilla (western lowland gorilla) is the source of this 1473-nucleotide long non-coding RNA. RefSeq lists it as uncharacterized. The record is from RefSeq and is a predicted model, not a curated record. The transcript has 5 exons. NCBI's taxonomy places the organism in Eukaryota, Metazoa, Chordata, Mammalia, Primates, Hominidae.